RNAcentral lists this ribosomal RNA (440 nucleotides) under uncultured bacterium. RNAcentral describes it as "partial 16S ribosomal RNA". It matches the Rfam family "Bacterial small subunit ribosomal RNA", at positions 338 to 795 of the family's 1533-position model. The record is from RNAcentral.
CCUACGGGUGACAGCAGUGGGGAAUAUUGCACAAUGGGGGAAACCCUGAUGCAGCGACGCCGCGUGAGUGAAGAAGUAAUUCGUUAUGGAAAGCUCUAUCAGCAGGGAAGAAAAUGCCGGUACCUGAGUAAGAAGCCCCGGCUAACUACGUGCAAGCAGCCGCGGUAAGACGUAGGGGGCAAGCGUUAUCCGGAUUUUCUGGGUGUAAAGGGAGCGUAGACGGGAGUGCAAGUCUGGAGUGAAAGGCGGGGGCUCAACCCCCGGACUGCUCUGGAAACUGGACGGCUGGAGUGCAGGAGAGGUAAGUGGAAUGCCUAGUGUAGCGGUGAAAUGCGUAGAUAGUAGGAGGAACACCAGUGGCGAAGGCGGCUUACUGGACUGGAACUGACGUUGAGGCUCGAAAGCGUGGGGAGCAAACAGGAUUAGAUACCCCUGUAGUC